RNAcentral lists this long non-coding RNA (3600 nucleotides) under Mytilus galloprovincialis (Mediterranean mussel). Lineage: Eukaryota; Metazoa; Mollusca; Bivalvia; Mytilida; Mytilidae. The record is from RNAcentral.
CCUGAAUAUCAUGGAGGACGAAAUGGAAAUGUAAGAAUUAAUGGAAAAGUUUCAAAACAUAAUAAACUGACUAGCGUUGUAGUUUUAAUAGUUAUCAUAGGAAAAAUAAAGAUAUGUGAUAACCUGCUCCCCAUUCGAUAAAAUAUUCCAGUCCUCUUUGGUCGUCUCUCAGUCAGCGAUACCCAUUACUUUACUCAGGUCUGUGUAUCUUUUCUGCCAAAUUAUAUGUAUAGGCACAUCUUCAAUAUGAAGUCGACAAAUUCCCAGAAUAAAAGGGAGGGAGGUACUGUUUCAAUCAUAUGCCGUAUGUCCCCAUUCAAAAGCAUUGAUCGUAAAAAGGGGGGUUAAAUCAGCCUCCUUGUAUCAAUCACUGCCUACACCAAAAUUAUACGGUAAACGGACAGAAAGUCACAGGACAAAAAGUCACAGGACAUAAAGUCACAAAUUUGAUAGGACAAAAAGUCACAGGACAAAAAGUCACAAAUAAUUUGGUGACAAUUGUUUGAAUAUAUAAGAGAAAAAUAUUUUGAAAUAUUUACUUUUUAAUACAUAUAUUCAUAUUAAAGUUUAGGAAAUGUGUCAUUAUACUUGAAAAAUCAAGAUUUAUUUAAUUUUAAUCAGGCAAAAGAUAUAUUUCUUGGCACCAUGAAGCCAUGUAAGUGCCAAACCACUUUGACAUUUUGUUUUUUUAACAAUUAUUUGAUCAUCUUUGAUAUUUUUUUGAUAAAUUUUGUUAACAAAGUUGGUUUAUAUACAAUAGUUCAAGAAAAAUACAAAAAUAUUUUUGUAGAAAUAAGCGGUUUUUAUUCAAAGAAAAUAAUCAGAAAAAAUGAAUUGUGACUUUUUGUCCUGUGACUUUUUGUCCAUGACUUUUUGUCUGUGACUUUUUGUCCUGUGACUUUCUGUCCUACAUUCAAUUAUACACCUUAUCCCUAUUUGUCCGCCAUUAUUGGAUAUUACACAGGUUCCCGUAAAAAUUAGACCUCACAAAACAAAAUAUCUGACACCACAAUGGAAAAUUGAUAGUUGUAUGCACAAGGAUCCGGAAAUUUUUUCACCUAAUUUCGGUCAUUUUCAUAUAACUCAAAAGUUGGUGCCCCUUUUCAAAAACAGAUUGUCAAAAUCUCAUUACUGCAUGAGUAUGCACCUACUCGUAGCAUCAACGAACUUGUUUAACUGUUGCAUCGCGUUUACUUCAUGAUUUGUCCUACCAUUUUCCUAAAAUCGAUCAAGAGCAAUUAAGGGAAGGCAACAGUUUAAGAAUAAAAUGAUUUUAAUGACUCAAAAUCGUAAUUUUCUCAGUCAUCGCUUACGUUUCUUUCAAUUCUGAAGUGGAAAUUCAAACUGGAUGUAAUGCGACAAUACUAAAACGAACAAUUCCGGACUUAUUCCCGGGAUUAGUUUUGUUUAUCAAAUUCACAGGAAAACAUCGGUUUUUUUUUUAAAAUAUUUUACCUUUAAUAGUGUAAGAAUAUUAAUGAAAAUAGUUGCACUUGCUUUAUUUAGCAAGAAAUCAUUUUAAAUUUACUAUUUAGUGUAAAAUCUGCGGAAGAGAAUUUUAGGCAUGCGUAUCAUAGCACGUGUGUUAGUAGUGAAAAAAAUCUUUUUUCUACGUAAAUUAAAUCAAGUUUUAAUUUAAUUUUAAAUCAUAUUGACAAUUGUCUUAGCUGAAAAGUAAUUAAAUAAUGAAGACAGUUGGUAUUGAAUUUUAAUUUCUUUAUAAUAUUAGUUCGGAGCUUGUGAUUAAUAGCCAGGUGUGAAUUAAAAACACAUGUAAAAGAGAUUAGCGAUCAUUAGCCAAUAGCUCCCCGAGGCAUUAAUAUAGCUAUUAGGAGGGCCCUCAGGAUUAUAACACUUUACUGGAGUGCAGUUUUAACUACAUAAAAUCGAUAACAAAACAAAAAUAUGUUUAAAAUGGCGAUUUGACUCAAUCUCAACAAAUGACCGAAAUUAUUUCUGUUGAAAAAUAAAAUUUGACCUAAAUCCCAAUAAAUGAUUUAGGACUUUUGAGUUUCCAGAUCGGUCAUGUCUGGCAUAUAUGACCGUUUCCGGACCCUUGUGUAUGCAUCAAAAGUUCAAGCGGCCGGGUCAGCCGGAUUAGCGAUAAGGUGUAUAAGGCAAUAUCAUAUACCUUUAUAUUUAUAAAAUCUGAAUAUAAGUGUCAAAAUAACAUACCUUUAUUUCUUUUCACAUUCUCAUAGCUUUAUUCUUUUUGGGUAUACUUGAAUUGUUUUACAUUGUCUUAUCAGGGCCUUAUAUAGCUGACUAUACAGUAUGGGCUUUGCUCAUUGUUGAAGGCCGUAGGGUGACCUAUAGUUGUAAAUGUCUGUGUCAUUUUGGUCUCGUGUGGACAGUUGUCUCAUUAGCAAUCAUACCACAUCUUCUUUUUUUUAUAGUGAAUCCAAUAUUAAUUGACUAGGAUUCUAUGUCAGUUUAAGAGAUAACUGUAUUGUAUUUGAAGCUUUAAGGACGUCCAUCGGUAGUUUUACUGCGCAAAUUAGUUUACCUGGCGACGCGGAGCGGAGAACAGGUAACGGGUAUUUCGACAGUAAAAACCGAUGGACGUCCGAAAGCUUCAAUACAAUACAGUUAUCUCUAUUCUAAUGCAAAACAAGUUUAUAAUUAAAUUUUAAUCAUUAUUUCAGUGUAAAAUGUUCAUUAAAGAAAAUUCCGCGAAAAGAUGUUAUGUUCUUUGGUCUACACUAUGACGUCAUAGGUAUGCUUCCGGCGUCAAACAUAAACAACGGCCGUUUUCUGGCUUCUGUGCCGCUUCAGAAUGUAAUAAAAUUUGAUAAAAAGAAGAUUUUUAGGCGCAACAAGUGAGUUUUUUGUUUAUUAUUGUAGAAAUAACAUGUCAAUACAUUCCGAAAUUCAAAAUGUCGGCUUCCUUAGUUACAGACAAGGAGAUAGAGAAUUUUACGCUUGCUGUUAUCCAAUCAGAACAAUUGUUACAAAAUAAUUGCAUUAGAAUUUCCUAUUGACUGUGAUUUUUUGGGCACUCUAGAUCUUACUUCCUCCACCAAUAAAAACUGGCUGCCACAAAAGAUCCUAAAGUGGCAUUAAAACACUUAAAAUCAUAUCUAAUCAGUGGAGUCUCCCUCGCAAUUGAAUAUAAAAGUUUGUGAAAUGUUGGCUUUGGGGGCACACAGCAUUAGCCAUAUACAACUUGUUAGGGGGUUUGGGGACAUAGAAUUCUAGUGGAUAUAAAUAAGAAGAUGUGGUAUGACUGAGGCUUAUAAUACAUGUUCUCACCAUUGAUGAUCAAUAAUUUUUCAAUUCUUUUUUAGGUUAUAACAAUUAUUUUUGUAAGUUGCAUACACACAGAAUACCUUUUGUAAAUGGUAGUACUUAUUCGUCAAGCUGGAACCAGCUGAUUCGUCCACUGCAGCUACCAACAUUACACAGGAAGAUGAAAUCCAAACAGCGAAGGAAGAGGAAUGCUGGGUAAAUGAUACAAAGGACAUUGGAGUCCUGACAGGUUAGUUACUAUAUGUCUUUUGUCAUGUUUAUUGAAUUGGUACAAAAAUUCAAUAAUAGAAACUGAUGAUGUGCAUGCUGAUCUAGAAACGAGAUUAAUUAAUCAUAACCCUCCACCCAUCA